Molecule: ribosomal RNA, 462 nt
Filed under: uncultured bacterium
Lineage: Bacteria
Description: bacterial SSU rRNA
Rfam family: Bacterial small subunit ribosomal RNA
Source: RNAcentral
UCCUACGGGAGGCAGCAGUGAGGAAUAUUGGUCAAUGGGCGGAAGCCUGAACCAGCCAUGCCGCGUGCAGGAAUAAGGCCCUAUGAGUCGUAAGCUGCUUUUGUGCGGGAGCAAUAAGGGCUACGUGUAGCCUGAUGAGAGUACCGUACGAAUAAGCAUCGGCUAACUCCGUGCCAGCAGCCGCGGUAAUACGGAGGAUGCGAGCGUUAUCCGGAUUUAUUGGGUUUAAAGGGUGCGUAGGCUGUGCGUCAAGUCAGAGGUGAAAUGCCCGGGCUCAACCUGGGGACUGCCUUUGAUACUGUCGCGCUGGAAUACGGAUGCCGUGGGAGGAAUGAGUAGUGUAGCGGUGAAAUGCAUAGAUAUUACUCAGAACACCGAUUGCGAAGGCAUCUCACGAAUCCGUCAUUGACGCUGAGGCACGAAGGCGUGGGGAUCAAACAGGAUUAGAUACCCUGGUAGUCC